GCGACCCCUUUAGCGGCGACCCCUCCUUUAGCGGUGACAAGCACACGGAUCUGCUUUUACCCCUUCUUCAUUAAACCUGACCGUUGAUUAGGGUUCUGAUCCAACGGAUGGAGAAAUAAUUGCAGGCGGGCUUUUUCCCUCCCAUCUAUUUUCACCAAUUCUCUCUUACCCCCAAAUAUUGCCUCCAGUAUUGCUAUUGCAGAUCUCCCCCAAAAUCACCACCCAUACGAGACGACGCAUCUCCAAAAUCACCACCACAUACACCUACCGGCACCAGACGCACCCCACCUUCAACCCUUUGUGCACCAGACGCACCACACCUUCAACCGCCAUCUUCAUCCGCGACUCCGAAACCACCACAACUAGUCUUCAUCACCAACGACCCACCAGCAUCCAAAAUUGAAACUUGGAAGAGAUCCCAUGGGCCUAAACUGGAGCCAGAUAUGUUGUGGAAUCGACCGGUGUUUUUACCGUCAUGGACAAAGUCGCUGCUCAUCUAUGGUCAAACUGGUCAACUAUGGUCAAACUCGGCUACAGGGUCUGAAUAUGCUGCCACAAGCUGGGGAGUUCAAUGAGGUAAAACUAAAAGAUUGUAGGUAUUGAAUAUGUAAUAUAAAGCCUAUUGAUACUCGCGAAAUGCUAACCAGUAUCUAGAAGACAAGGUAUGUUCUUUUAUUUGUUUUUGCAUUCACAUCAACCGUCACUUAUUUUAAAUAAAUAUACUGAUGGUUCUUGUUGUUGGCUCAUUUCUUCUUUCAGCAGCUCAUUUCAGGAGUCAGCUACUUCCACAAUAUGGUAUAAGUUAAAUAAGUAGCUAGUUUAUAUACAAAUUCUUGCUUCACGUGUUUGUCUAAUUACAAAUGUCGCCGCUAAAACUCCGGUUUUUUUGUAGCAAGAUUUACGGUGAUAUUAGUGUUGUGCAGUUUUAAGGGGUAUGUGUCUUUUGUUUCUGGGGUGGUGCAGGGAGGACAUAAGCAUGAGCAUAAGGCUUCUCUUUAGUUGCAAUGGAAUUAAAAUCAGUAUCGUAAACACUUAUCAACCUGCAGAAGGGCUCGUCUUAGAAAAGAAGGCAUGUCCAAAAGGUGACCCGACCCGAGCGUACGAUGAACAUUUGGAUUGAAUCAUCAGCAAUAUGAAGAGAGGCCAGAAAUACCAUCUUCCGACAAGUUAAGUUGCGGCAGGGGCUUUUCGAUACAUAACAGGUCCGCGAAUCAAAUUGUAGUUUAACUCAUACAAUGUCAAACUACAAAUGUUUGUCAUCCCCGCCACAACACGCGGGUUGAAAGCACUAGUUACUACUGUUUUAAUAUGGUGAUAUAAACAAACUGCUAUGUAAUUUUUGGGUGUUUGAAUGUGAAUUACUGUUUAAUUCUUUGUAUACUUAUGAACGUUUUGGUC
Helianthus annuus (common sunflower) is the source of this 1398-nucleotide long non-coding RNA. RefSeq lists it as uncharacterized. The transcript has 5 exons. The record is from RefSeq and is a predicted model, not a curated record. NCBI's taxonomy places the organism in Eukaryota, Viridiplantae, Streptophyta, Magnoliopsida, Asterales, Asteraceae.